RNAcentral lists this ribosomal RNA (511 nucleotides) under uncultured bacterium. Its description in RNAcentral is "partial 16S ribosomal RNA". It matches the Rfam family "Bacterial small subunit ribosomal RNA", at positions 899 to 1397 of the family's 1533-position model. The record is from RNAcentral.
ACUCAAAGGAAUAGACGGGGGCCCGCACAAGCGGCGGAGCAUGUUGCUUAAUUCGACGCAACGCGAAGAACCUUACCAAGGUUUGACAUUGCCCGAAAACCUGCAGAGAUGUGGGGUCCCUUUGGGGCGGGUGACAGGUGGUGCAUGGCUGUCGUCAGCUCGUGUCGUGAGAUGUUGGGUUAAGUCCCGCAACGAGCGCAACCCUCGUUCCAUGUUGCCAGCGACGCUCCUUUCGGGGGGUGGUCGGGGACUCAUGGGAGACUGCCGGGGUCAACUCGGAGGAAGGUGGGGAUGACGUCAAGUCAUCAUGCCCCUUAUGUCUUGGGCUGCAAACAUGCUACAAUGGCCGGUACAGAGGGCGGCGAUGCCGUGAGGCGGAGCGAAUCCCUAAAAGCCGGUCUCAGUUCGGAUUGGGGUCUGCAACUCGACCCUAUGAAGUCGGAGUCGCUAGUAAUCGCAGAUCAGCAAUGCUGCGGUGAAUACGUUCCCGGGCCUUGCACACACCGCCCGU